CAACAAAAAAAAAGUUAAAGAAUGAUAUGUGACAAACUGUGAUUUUGUUUGUGAGGAGGUUACGUCGUCCAAGUUAUAUUAAUCGCCUAUUGGGUUGUGUACAAAUUAUUUGGGCGGCCCAACGAAUCCAAUUUUGUGAGAGAAAAUGAUACAAACUUUGGCCCAGCAAUCAACUUAAAGCUCAAUUAACAUUCUGGUCCAGAACAAGGGCUAGUUUCCACCCUCCAAAAUCCCAAAAUCAAGAAUGUUCUCCCUCCAAACUCUCAAAUCUUGCAGAUCACUCCAACGCCAACGUACUGCCCCCGUUCAUAUCCUCAUUGCUUUCUUCAGUUGUUUUCGACUUGUCACGUACUUGAUCGAGAACGCUGUUGAACUCGAAAAAAUUGUUCUCCACCAUGAUGUACAUUUCUGGGACGUUCCCGCACAGAAGAGUAUCGAAGAAAAGAAGAGGGAAGAUGAGGAAAGAAAUCGUGCUACCCAGCAGCUCAAAGCAAAAGUGCCUUCAAGAAUUCAAUUUGUAUGCCUUCUGUAAGCAAAUUGCUGCUGGUUUGGCUUUCUUGUGCUAAAGGCUUGACAAUUAAGGUUGAGAUAGCUAGUCAGUUUGUAUUUUACAAGACGACAUUCCAAACGGUUAUAAUCUAUUUUGAGGGGGGUUUCGAGCUUAAGUGCGACACAACUUUAAUCUACAACAAUUACUGUUUGUGCUA
Malus domestica (apple) is the source of this 707-nucleotide long non-coding RNA. RefSeq lists it as uncharacterized. The record is from RefSeq and is a predicted model, not a curated record. Lineage: Eukaryota; Viridiplantae; Streptophyta; Magnoliopsida; Rosales; Rosaceae.